CUUUAUAGCAACGUGAAAAGAGACUAAUACAACAAACAAUCUACUUACAAUAGAUCUGAGAAUAAAAUACCUGGGAAUAAAUUUAACCAAGAGGUGAAAGACCUGGACACUGAAAACUACAAAAAAUUGCUGGCAGAAGUUAAAGAGGAACGAAUUAAAUGACUCCUUCAGAAAUGCAACACAGAGGACUCUAGCCCAACGCAUAAUCUACACUCCAAACUGAAGUUUCUCCUUCAAACUUUGUCUGCUUUACCAUCCUGAUGAGCUUGCCUUCACAUUAACUCAAUGACCCAUGUUGCCCUGUUCACCGAAAUCCUGAAACCAACACUGAGGUAGUCCUGGAGCCUGGCUGUGGCUCUGCCCAACUUUCCUGAGCCACCUCCACUCCUUGCUACUACUGGUCACAGUGGAGAGAUACACAGAGGACAACAGGCAAGGAAAAAAGAGAGCUGAAGAUUAUCAUUAUUUCCUCACUCUUUUCAUCAAAGAUAUUAUCUCCUGGUCCUGAAAUAGUACUGCUCCUUGACACCCUCCUGAGAUACCAGACAAUAAAAAAUGUAGAUUUUAAAAAGUAACCAUCACCUUAUGCUUUAUAAUAAGCCACAAUUUUGUGCUGUUCUUAUUCUAUUAAAGACAAUCGCUACAAUAUAUAAACAUGGUUAGAAACCAUGCAAGCAAGAAAAGCAUGUGGUGAAAUAUUUAAAGAAUUGAAAGGAAAAAAAAAUCUACCUAGAAGUUUGUACCCAGUGAAAUUAUCCUCCAAAAGUGAAGGAAAAAUAAAGACUUUAUCAGAAAAAAGAAUUGAUGUAGACCUACCUUGCAAAGAAGGAUUACAAGAAGUUCUUCAGAGAGGAGGAAAAUGGUGUAGGUCAGAAACUUGGGUCUGCAUAAGCAACAGGGAGCAUCAGGAAAGAAGUGCAACGUCUACCUAGAAUAUCUGCUUCUCGCUGCCACAUGUUCCUUCCAUUCCAUUCCAUGAAGUCUACUUAACGAGCCCCUUCAGUAGAGAAGUUCUCAACGAAUCCCUUCUGGAUCCAGGCAUUCUGAUUACUGUAUUAUGACUGUGCACUCUACCCAGGGCAGACUGUCAUCUGAGCCCGGCCUGUCCUGCUGUCUGCUCUCUCCAGAGAGCAUCCUUCAUCCUGAUAAACAGGCUGCGAGCUGGACAUGUGACUGAGCUCCUUAAGACAUGAGUCUUCAGUCUCCUGCCCUCAGCUUAGCUGGAAGCUGGAUGACAGCCACAUUAAGAGGCUUUCUGCAAGUGGCUUUUGGAUGAAAAGGGGGCCUCUCAGGUACUCCACUCUCACGUUGCAGGCUCUGCAGCAGCUGGUCUAUCUGGUGGCACUGGGAGUAAGUAGUAUGGGAGACCCCUCCAUGCCGGGGUCCCCUGGAGUGUCCUCCUCAUAGCGUGAGGGUUCUUCUCAGGGAUACUGAGGAUAAUUCACAAUGGCUUUGUAGUUGCAAUAUUCUUUUUUUAUUUCUUAAGUUUCUGUGUCCCAAAUUUUAGU
RNAcentral lists this long non-coding RNA (1508 nucleotides) under Homo sapiens (human). RNAcentral describes it as "HSALNT0381446". The record is from RNAcentral. Lineage: Eukaryota; Metazoa; Chordata; Mammalia; Primates; Hominidae.